This 540-nucleotide ribosomal RNA is filed under the name uncultured bacterium. Its description in RNAcentral is "bacterial SSU rRNA". It matches the Rfam family "Bacterial small subunit ribosomal RNA", at positions 221 to 792 of the family's 1533-position model. The record is from RNAcentral.
UCAGAUGAGCCAGGUCGGAUUAGCUAGUUGUGAGGUAAUGGCUCACCAAGGCACGAUCCGUAACUGGUCUGAGAGGAUGAUCAGUCACAUUGGAACUGAGACACGGUCCAGACUCCUACGGGAGGCAGCAGUGAGGAAUAUUGGGCAAUGGAGGCAACUCUGACCCAGCCAUGCCGCGUGAGUGAGAAGGUUUUCGAAUUGUAAAGCUCUUUCGGGUGUGAAGAUGAUGACGGUAACACCAGAAGAAGCCCCGGCAAACUUCGUGCCUGCAGCCGCGGUAAUACGAAGGGGGCGAGCGUUGUUCGGAAUUACUGGGCGUAAAGGGUGUGUAGGCGGUUAAGUAAGAUAGUGGUGAAAUGCCGGGGCUCAACCUCGGAAUUGCCAUUAUGACUAUUUGGCUAGAAUGAUGUAGAGGAUAGCGGAAUACCCAGUGUAGAGGUGAAAUUCGUAGAUAUUGGGUAGAAACACCGGAGGCGAAGGCGGCUAUCCUGGGGUCCCUAUUUUAUUUGACCGUCGUCGUACGGUCCGAACGCGGGCCCG